RNAcentral lists this ribosomal RNA (263 nucleotides) under uncultured bacterium. RNAcentral's name for it is "partial 16S ribosomal RNA". The record is from RNAcentral.
CUGCUGCCUUCCGUAGGAGUUUGGGCCGUGUCUCAGUCCCAAUGUGGCCGGUCGCCCUCUCAGGUCGGCUACUGAUCGUCGGCUUGGUAGGCUUCUACCCCACCAACUACCUAAUCAGACGCGGGCCCAUCUUACACCACCUCAGUUUCUACCUCUGUACCAUGCGGUACUGGGGUCUUAUGCGGUAUUAGCAAUCAUUUCUAAUUGUUAUCCCCCUGUGUAAGGCAGGUUGCCCACGCGUUACUCACCCGUCCGCCGCUAAG